Molecule: ribosomal RNA, 425 nt
Filed under: uncultured bacterium
Lineage: Bacteria
Description: bacterial SSU rRNA
Rfam family: Bacterial small subunit ribosomal RNA
Source: RNAcentral
UAAGGAAUCUUCCACAAUGGGCGAAAGCCUGAUGGAGCAACGCCGCGUGCAGGAUGAAGGCCCUCGGGUCGUAAACUGCUUUUAUAAGUGAGGAAUAUGACGGUAGCUUAUGAAUAAGGAUCGGCUAACUCCGUGCCAGCAGCCGCGGUCAUACGGAGGAUCCAAGCGUUAUUCGGAGUGACUGGGCGUAAAGAGUUGCGUAGGGGGUUUGUUAAGCAAAUAGUGAAAUCUUGUGGCUCAACCAUAAGGCUAUUAUUUGAACUGGCAGACUUGAGAAUAUGAGAGGUAGAUGGAAUUCCCAGUGUAGGAGUGAAAUCCGUAGAUAUUGGGAGGAACACCAAUGGCGUAGGCAGUCUACUGGCAUAUUUCUGACCCUGAGGCACGAAAGCGUGGGGAGCGAACCGGAUUAGAUACCCGCGUAGUCC